This 5432-nucleotide long non-coding RNA is filed under the name Lactuca sativa (garden lettuce). Its description in RNAcentral is "long non-coding RNA (LSAT_LNC004399)". Lineage: Eukaryota; Viridiplantae; Streptophyta; Magnoliopsida; Asterales; Asteraceae. The record is from RNAcentral.
CAAGACAUAUCAACUAUUUCAUGCAUUUAUAACUCUUCAAUAUCGAAAAGAAAGGAUGAAAGUGAAGAGAUAAAAUCUUUGAAUAUGUCAAUAUGAUCCCCAAUUUCCAUUAUCAAUAAAUAUUAUCUACCCUAUUACAUGAGAAGAAGAAACACAUACAAAGGAACAAAUGCAACACAUAGCAACAUAUUUUCAUUUAUUUGUUUAUUAUAACAUUCUACCUUUUUUUUUUUCUUUUAUUACACCAUUGUACUUUCAAUAUUAAAAAAUUUCUAGGUAGAUUUUCCAAAUUACACAACAAUGGAAUAGGAAAAAAAGAAAAAAAAAAGGAAAAAUGGAUGCUAUUAUAAACAAAUCAAAAUAAAUAUGAUGAUAUUUCUUGCAUUUAACCCUAAAUUAAAACCAAAAAAGUAAGAAACUUUCUUCAAAUAACACAUUAUAUAUAAUUAAACUAAUAAAAAUCUAAUGAAAACCCCUUGAUCCUCUAGAUUGAUAAAGCUCCAACCUACCUUUAGAUUCCUGUAAAAGAUUCUCCACCUUUUCAAUCUGAAUCAAUUGAGACUGUUUGGACGCCCAUUCAAGAACAGUAAGCACUUCAGCCUGUGCUAAAUCUUCACUAUCAGGAACAUGAAAAGCAAUGUAACAAAGAAGCACCAAUGCAGGAAUUUGAACCAUUUGUUCACCAAAAUACACCAAUUGAAUCAAAUGUCGUGUUCCUCCAGCUGCAAUAAUGGCUUUUGAAUGAUCAAGAUGAAGGUAGUUUUCUUUACAGGUGAAUUUAGCAAGUGCGAUUGCAGCUUCUUUUGAAAUUUCAGCUUCACGUUCUUCAAGAAGCUGAACUAAGGGUUGGAUCAUGCGUGAUUCGGUUGCGCGAAAUGUUCUUGCUAAGUUCCCGAUUGAUUGGAUGCAUGGAAGAAGAAGUUUUGAAUUUGAAUCUGCUUUUUCGAUGAUUUGAAGGAGUUGUUCGAUUACAGCUUUGCAAGCGGGUGCGUUUGGUUUGAAAGCUGCUCUUCUUAGAUCAGAAUCUUCUUCUGCUACACCUGUGAUUUCCAUGAGUGCCAUGGCGGAAUUGUAUCUGACUUCUUCUGGGCCUUUUUCUAGUAAGACUGCGAAGCAGAGUAGAGCUCUUGAUUCGGUUAUGCUUCUGCAAAUGGUGGAGUUUUCUUUGGCGAGAUGCCAAAGUGCUUUGGCAGCCAUUGAUUUCAUGUAGGCUUUUGUUGCAGGGUCUUCUGAUUCUCUCCCUUUGUGUAAACUAAGGGAAAGGCUCGAGUUAUGAUGAAUGUUUUGCUUCUUGAUUGUAAUGUUUUCGGUUUUUUGAUUCUGAUUCGGGUUUAGGUUGCUAGGUUUUUGGCCAUCUUUCAUUCCCAUGGUGGUUGCAACUACACUGUGCAUUUUGAAAGGUUGAUUGUUGUUACCAGAAGGAUGUGGAACUCGACUCUUGUCUUCAUCUUCGUUUGUUGAUUUGUUGGAAGGAUUCUGAUGAUGAACGCCAUUGGAGUUGUUGUUGCUGUUGUUGUUGUUGCUGCCGUUUGUGUUGUUGCUAGCUAAAACAACAGCGUGAAUUGAGGUGGGUUUGUUGCUAGUGAUUGCGUACUUACUGUGUUCUUCAACUGUUUCGAACGCGAGAUGUCCAACGAGUAAUCGAACGAUGUUGUGUUGUGCGAAGAGAUCUUGACAUUUUGGAUAAUGAGCUACGAGCUCCGAUACAGCCCAGGCGACAACUGCUUGCACUUUCAUGGGACCUUCUUUGAGAAUUUUAACAAACACCGAGCAUACACCGGCGUGAAUCAUGUGUUCGACGCUCUCAGGAUCACGACCUAGCAAUCCGAUUGCAGACGCAGCGUUCUCCUGACCUUCUGGUUUCCCUUCUUUCACCAAUUUCAGCAACGGAUUGACUCCGCCUUCUUCAAUUAUCAGCUUCCCAUACCGAUCGUUGUCUCUCGCAAGCGAGACAAGCGACGCCGCCGCGUCGGACCUGUCAUCUAGGCUUCCGGUGUACAAAAUCGCGAUUUGCUCCCAAAUUAAACACAAAAUAGGUUCAUUAGCAGCGAUCGGAGGGAGACCGAGGUACUCAUCGGUUGAAUUGUUAGGAGCGGAGACGCGUAACAGCCACGAGACAUCACCUAUGGAAUUCUCAAGCUGUGACGACAUCUUACGAAACGCAGCUGCCGGUAUGAGAGUAAACACUCGUUUCACAAGGCCGUUGUUCCGGCAUUUUAGGGUUAGAGAAAGUGCUUUUUCAAGAACCUGCUCUGUGUCGUCAAUAAUACGUCUUGUAGGACGUUCGUAGAGAUCGUUACUCGCACGCGCCGCUUGUCGGAGGAGUCCGGCGAGCUUUUCCGUCUUGGAUUUGAGUUCAGCGCAGUCUUGCUUGUUGAUACAGGCUUCGUCGGCGAGCUUGAUGACUUGGUCGGCUAACUGGAUCGGCUUUGCGAGGAUCUGUUUGACUAGGUCCGCCAUGGAUGAUGGCUGGAGCAAAAAUGGUAGGUGGAUGAAGUGGAAUUUGAAGAUGAAAGAAUGAAAGAUGGAAUUGAAGAGUAAAUUUUGGGGGAAUGUAAGGAGAAGAGGAGGUGGGAGAUGAUGACUUGGUCGUUGAUGUUCCAAAGAGUAGACGGGCUUUACAAAGGUCUAAGUCAAAACUUCUUUACAUAUAGUCUUCGUCUCUCCUCUUAUAAUAUACUACUUUAUUUACUUCUAUAAUAUAAUUACUUAUAAAAUAUUUUUUCAAUUUUGUAAAUCAUAUAGUAGUAUUUAAUUAUAGGCAUCUCCAACCCAAUACCAAAGGUCGAAAACCCACUUUAUACAUCAAAAUGUGUGGAGUAUGAGAGUAUCUCCAAUUCCUAUUUUAUUUUCUAAAUCUACUUAUAUUAUUCUUUUGUAACAUUACUAUUUGUCAAAUUUUAGUCCAUUUGUUUUUAAUAGUAUUCUAUUUAGCUUAAUUUAUAUAAAUAUUAUAUAUUAUAUCCUAAAUAUAACAAUUAUUUAUUAUUAUAUUAUAUUAUAUAAUACGUUAACAUUAGUUAACUAUAAAUGCAAGUGAUCACCAGCCUAACUGGUUGUGCUGCAUCCUGGGUUAUAGGCAUCAGUGGGUGAGGUCAAGAGUUCUACUCUUGGNUGGAAUUUAUAUCUAAUUAUGACAUUGUACAUCUAACCUUUUUUCUUAUUAGAACACUAUGUUUGAAAAAUCAACACAAUUAUAGAAGUAGAAAUUGUAGUGUAUUUUAAUGACAUUGCAAUAACUAGUUUGACUUUUAAAAGUACAAUACUUUUCAAAGUAAGAUACGUAACUUCACUUAUUUGUAGAGCUUGCAAAAAUCGACCAAACCCAAUCUGAACCAAUCCAAAAUUAAAAGGUUCGGUUGAGAUUUUCAACCUAUUUAGGAUAAAUUGGUCAACCCGUCUAACCUAUUUAAUUAAAUAGGUUGGAUUGGGUAAAUGUUGUCAAAACGUUUUCAACUCACCAACCUGUUUAACUUUAAUAUAUAUAUUUAAUUUAAUAAUUAUUUAAAUAGUACCAUGUACUAAUCUAAGUAUGAAUUUAUAAAUUAAAAUGUUGUAUUAUUAUUUAUGUUUUAAAAAAUACAAUCCUAACUGCUAUCUUUUUUCUUUGCGCUGACAACACUAGUUACUCUUCAAAAUCAUUUCGAAAUUACAUAUCUUUAAUGUUAUUUGAAAAUUCUCUUUGUAUUUGUGAAUUGGGAUUGUGCUUUUAUUAUACUUUGAAAUUUUUAAACUAACUUAAGUGGUGUAAUAUUUAGUUAAUUUAUUUACUUUUUAAUUUUAAGUGGGUUAACCUAGGUUUAACCCAUUUAUUUAAUAAACUGGAUUGGGAAUUACAUAAACAGGUCAAACCGAUGACAAUCCAUUUAUUUGUAAGGUUGGGUUGGAUUGGAAAUAUCUACCCAUUUAAAUAAAAAUGUUGGGUUGGAUUUAAAUCUUCAGCGGAUUAAACUCAAACCCAAUUCAGAUCGACUCAUUGUCAGCUCUACUUAUUUGUGUAUAAUAUCAUCUUACUUUCAUUUUUUUCCUUUUCCAACAUUGUACAUUCAUUUCAAUUUUGUUAUGGAAUUAUAGUUUAAAGAAUCAACCCAACAAUGUAGCAUCCUACAUUCAAUUUCUUGUUAUUAGAACAUACGUUUUCAAAAAUAAAAACCAUACCAUUUAUAAGAUCAAAAAAUUGUUUUGUAUUUGAAUAACAUUGUUACAAUUACAUAUAUUUUUCAAAGUAUAGUACUACACUUGAAAGACAAAAAAGUGGAUAUGCUUAAUAAACAAAUCAAAAAAAGUACACAACUAUUUUAUGCAUUUAUGAGAAGAAAAAGUACGCAAGACAUAUCAACUAUUUCAUGCAUUUAUAACUCUUCAAUAUCGAAAAGAAAGGAUGAAAGUGAAGAGAUAAAAUCUUUGAAUAUGUCAAUAUGAUCCCCAAUUUCCAUUAUCAAUAAAUAUUAUCUACCCUAUUACAUGAGAAGAAGAAACACAUACAAAGGAACAAAUGCAACACAUAGCAACAUAUUUUCAUUUAUUUGUUUAUUAUAACAUUCUACCUUUUUUUUUUUCUUUUAUUACACCAUUGUACUUUCAAUAUUAAAAAAUUUCUAGGUAGAUUUUCCAAAUUACACAACAAUGGAAUAGGAAAAAAAGAAAAAAAAAAGGAAAAAUGGAUGCUAUUAUAAACAAAUCAAAAUAAAUAUGAUGAUAUUUCUUGCAUUUAACCCUAAAUUAAAACCAAAAAAGUAAGAAACUUUCUUCAAAUAACACAUUAUAUAUAAUUAAACUAAUAAAAAUCUAAUGAAAACCCCUUGAUCCUCUAGAUUGAUAAAGCUCCAACCUACCUUUAGAUUCCUGUAAAAGAUUCUCCACCUUUUCAAUCUGAAUCAAUUGAGACUGUUUGGACGCCCAUUCAAGAACAGUAAGCACUUCAGCCUGUGCUAAAUCUUCACUAUCAGGAACAUGAAAAGCAAUGUAACAAAGAAGCACCAAUGCAGGAAUUUGAACCAUUUGUUCACCAAAAUACACCAAUUGAAUCAAAUGUCGUGUUCCUCCAGCUGCAAUAAUGGCUUUUGAAUGAUCAAGAUGAAGGUAGUUUUCUUUACAGGUGAAUUUAGCAAGUGCGAUUGCAGCUUCUUUUGAAAUUUCAGCUUCACGUUCUUCAAGAAGCUGAACUAAGGGUUGGAUCAUGCGUGAUUCGGUUGCGCGAAAUGUUCUUGCUAAGUUCCCGAUUGAUUGGAUGCAUGGAAGAAGAAGUUUUGAAUUUGAAUCUGCUUUUUCGAUGAUUUGAAGGAGUUGUUCGAUUACAGCUUUGCAAGCGGGUGCGUUUGGUUUGAAAGCUGCUCUUCUUAGAUCAGAAUCUUCUUCUGCUACACCUGUGAUUUCCAUGAGUGCCAUGGCGGAAUUGUAUCUGACUUCUUCUGGGCCUUUUUCUAGUAAGA